Molecule: ribosomal RNA, 437 nt
Filed under: uncultured bacterium
Lineage: Bacteria
Description: partial 16S ribosomal RNA
Rfam family: Bacterial small subunit ribosomal RNA
Source: RNAcentral
AGCGAACGCUGGCGGCAGGCUUAACACAUGCAAGUCGAGCGGGCAUCCUUGUGGUGUCAGCGGCAGACGGGUGAGUAACGCGUGGGAACGUGCCCUUCGGUUCGGAAUAACUCAGGGAAACUUGAGCUAAUACCGGAUACGUGCGAGAGCAGAAAGGUUUAUCUGCCGAAGGAUCGGCCCGCGUCUGAUUAGCUAGUUGGUGAGGUUACGGCUCACCAAGGCUACGAUCAGUAGCUGGUCUGAGAGGAUGAUCAGCCACACUGGGACUGAGACACGGCCCAGACUCCUACGGGAGGCAGCAGUGGGGAAUAUUGGACAAUGGGGGCAACCCUGAUCCAGCCAUGCCGCGUGAGUGAUGACGGCCUUAGGGUUGUAAAGCUCUUUUCUCCGGGACGAUAAUGACGGUACCGGAGGAAUAAGCCCCGGCUAACUUCGUG